UACGUAGGGUGCAAGCGUUAAUCGGAAUUACUGGGCGUAAAGCGUGCGUAGGCGGCUUUGCAAGACAGAUGUGAAAUCCCCGGGCUUAACCUGGGAACUGCAUUUGUGACUGCAUGGCUGGAGUGCGGCAGAGGGGGAUGGAAUUCCGCGUGUAGCAGUGAAAUGCGUAGAUAUGCGGAGGAACACCGAUGGCGAAGGCAAGCCCCUGGGCCUGCACUGACGCUCAUGCACGAAAGCGUGGGGAGCAAACAGG
Molecule: ribosomal RNA, 253 nt
Filed under: uncultured bacterium
Lineage: Bacteria
Description: partial 16S ribosomal RNA
Rfam family: Bacterial small subunit ribosomal RNA
Source: RNAcentral